RNAcentral lists this ribosomal RNA (468 nucleotides) under uncultured bacterium. RNAcentral's name for it is "partial 16S ribosomal RNA". It matches the Rfam family "Bacterial small subunit ribosomal RNA", at positions 28 to 506 of the family's 1533-position model. The record is from RNAcentral.
GACGAACGCUGGCGGCGUGCUUAACACAUGCAAGUCGAACGGAAAGGCCCUGCUUUUGUGGGGUGCUCGAGUGGCGAACGGGUGAGUAACACGUGAGUAACCUGCCCUUGACUUUGGGAUAACUUCAGGAAACUGGGGCUAAUACCGGAUAGGAGCUCCUGCUGCAUGGUGGGGGUUGGAAAGUUUCGGCGGUUGGGGAUGGACUCGCGGCGUAUCAGCUUGUUGGUGGGGUAGUGGCUUACCAAGGCUUUGACGGGUAGUCGGCCUUGGGGGGUGACCGGGCCACAUGGGGCCGGGGAUACGGCCCACACCCCUCCGGGGGGCAGGGGUGGGGAAUAUUGCCAAAGGGGCGGAACCCGGAUGCAGCACCCCCGCGUGCGGGAUGAGGGCCUUGGGGUUGAAAACCGCUUUCCCCUGUGACGAAGCGUGGGGGACGGAAAUGGGUAAAAAAGCCCCGGCUAACUACGG